UGGGGAAUAUUGCACAAUGGGGCGAAAGCCUGAUGCAGCAACGCCGCGUGAGGGAAGACGGUUUUCGGAUUGUAAACCUCUGUUUUCGGUGACGAACAAAUGACGGUAACCGAGUAGGAAGCCACGGCUAACUACGUGCCAGCAGCCGCGGUAAUACGUAGGUGGCAAGCGUUAUCCGGAAUUACUGGGUGUAAAGGGAGCGCAGGCGGGAUAGCAAGUCAGCUGUGAAAACUAUGGGUUCAACCCAUAAACUGCAGUUGAAACUGUUAUUCUUGAGUGGAGUAGAGGCAAGCGGAAUUCCGAGUGUAGCGGUGAAAUG
Molecule: ribosomal RNA, 319 nt
Filed under: uncultured Eubacterium sp.
Lineage: Bacteria; Bacillati; Bacillota; Clostridia; Eubacteriales; Eubacteriaceae
Description: bacterial SSU rRNA
Rfam family: Bacterial small subunit ribosomal RNA
Source: RNAcentral